This is a non-coding RNA of Pelobates cultripes (western spadefoot toad), 215 nucleotides long. NCBI's taxonomy places the organism in Eukaryota, Metazoa, Chordata, Amphibia, Anura, Pelobatidae. The record is from the annotation of a GenBank genome assembly.
GGGCCGGGCGGCCAUGCCGACAGGCUGCAGGUCACUGGAGCUCCUGCAGAAUCAAGCUAAUUUUGGGGAAAAUACCCACCUUAUGCUGCAUGAGAGCUCUGGUGGUUCGGGGAACGGAGUCCAGGAUAGUCCCGGUGUAGCUGGAGCACCUGUUACCGGGUGACUCUAGGUCCUGGAGAGACAUUUUGGGGCUUGAGACCAGAGGCCUACCCAGG